CUAAGCAUUUGAUAUAUAGACGGUAUUUGAUUCUACUGACUGAAAGCGAUUUCAGUGACUUGUGUUGAUUUUCAAUCAACUUCUAAUUGAUUUCAGCAUCGAGUGAUACCAUGACUUCAAGAGUGGGUAGCCCCUCGAUUUUUGUCAGCAAUGACGAAUAAUUGGGAGGACCCAGCGAUGGGCGGUUUUGAAUUAAUGGCAUCGGUAGAGGCGUGAAUAACCACUGGUUGAGUCACUCAUGGGUCACACCCAGGACCAACACACCCAAGGGGAAUAAUGCAGAGUUGAUCCUCUUCCUCGUGGCCUGAGUAUUCCACCGGAAGUCUACACUUGGAGGUCCCUAUGCCAUUCACAAAGAGCUUCGAUUGCUCGUGGUGCCUCUUCACUGGUUCGAGCAUGGAACCAAGGGAGGGAGGCAAAAAUGCGCCCACGAGCAUCAUCAACCAACAUUCUGCCCAUAUUUCAUUCUUUGAUUUUGGCGCACAAACGUAUCCUUUACUAAUGACGACUACAAGACUGAACCCCGAACAGAGAGAUCGUGGGCGACCUGGUCCUCUAAUACGCCGGCUGGGGUGAGGUCGAAAUAAAAAAUGGAAAGUUAAAUACGAAUAUACAAGGGACAGAAAAUACCUGCUGAGGGCGAGGGAGGUGGAGGAGGCGUGUCCAGAAGGCUGAGGCGCCACAAAUAAUUUCAAUAUUUAUAACUUAUUGUCUUGAAUUUAUUCGUAAGUAUCUCCAACGAGCUGAAAAUGUUAUUCCCAAUGGAUUUUUGUUACUUCUACCCCAGGAAGACGAAUUAAUUCCACCACCGAAAGGGACGACUUUCUUGUCUCACCGGUGAAGAUUUAUCAGCAGAUCGUAUUACAACGUCAAGGUCGACAAUUCCAGGAGAGCCUUAACCAGAGAACAUGUACAUACACAUACCUGGUGCAUGGUAUUCUCGAUUGCCGGAGGUACUGAGGGUUAUAAAUCAUAAUUAGGCUUCGACCAGUAGCCACUAAGUGCCAACCUAAACCCAUUAAAAUGGCAACAAUGCAAUUGAGAUGAGAAUUAUCGUUGCCCAGAUUUGGACAAUAGAUAGUCCGUAAAUCCAACGUGAGGAAAGGUGAUCACAAUCGAUAACAAGAUUUCAAGCGUGAUGUUACUGAGUUGAGGAGCGAUUAGUCGAGUCAUGGCUCCUCGCCCACGUGAGAUAAAGGCAAGAGCCAAGUGGUGAAUCCUGAAUAAGAUUCGUGACAGUGAAUAAACAAAAUAGUGACGAAGCAGAGUUCAGGGGCAUCAACAGCUUGAAUAAAUGGCUGAAAAUGACGAGGCUCCUGUGGACAUCGGUUAGCUGCAGCUGAUCAGUGAAUGCAACAAAUGUGAUUGUUAUUCUCCCGUCCUUUUCUAUAAACUGUCGAGACUGGAUAUUGACGAUAACAACGGUAGCCAGAAGAUUCACAGUCAUUAUUGAUAAUUGCAGUUUGGUUUGGGGAAAUGCAAUUAGACGGACGAAAGAUUGGAAGACCGGCUGAUUGAGAGGCGCCCCUGGAGUUUACCUAUGAUGAUAUUAAAGAUUUUUCAAUUCAGUUGGAAGGAACUGCGAGGAACUGUUGAAUUUAGUUUGUAUAUUCCUCUGUCAUAAGGAUUUCUCCAGGGCCAAUCAGCCUUUAUUACCGGUAGCCAGUCUAGUAAUCAUCAUAAUGAUGGAUAAUGUCCGGUGGAUAAUGUUACGUUAACAGUAGCUGUGUAUUUAACUCUUUGAUUUUUUUCUGUAAUUAUAUACAUUCAUUGAUUAUCGAAUGCAUUGGGAAUAUCGGAACUGUUCUACUUGGAAGUUUCUUUCUAUUAUUGAAGCGUGAAAUUGACGAUUCGAGUCGUGAUAAAGACCGGAUAAUCGUUCAUUUACCGCCGGCGUCAUCGAUUGAUUUCAUACGCUUCGUUUCUUCAGGCCUUGAAAAAAAUCAACCCACAUAAAAAAAUAAAAUAAACUACGUUUUGACAGACGUUUGACGAUAUUUUGAUAUCUGAUAAUAUUUUUUCAACCCUAAGGUCGAUUAAUUUGUUUUUUACCGUCGAUGUAUCGCUACAUAAUUGAGAAUCGAUCAAUUUAUGAAGGCAAUUGACUGAGUGAUUCUUUUAUAAUUCGUAAGUCUCAUGCGAAGGAAUACAAACAAUAAUGUAAUAAUAUUUUGAGAGAAGACCAGUAAUUUGAUAAAAAAAAUUCUUAGUAAAUUGUUGUUAUGUAAUUGUAAUUGACAGGGGUGCAUUCGUAAUGUCCGUUGACCGCCAUUUAUGGUUGUGAAAUGAUGAACUACUUUUAAAUCAUAAUUUCGGAUGAUUUUGAGCGUAAUGUCCACUUCAACUCCAAUCGUAAAAUACGACUCAAUAAACGCAACAUACAUUUAGCUUUUUCUGGGCCCAUUGAGCAAUCGAUGAUCCAAAAUUAUGGUUUGUCAAUGGAGAAAACUCGGUAUGAAUAAAAGAAUGGUAAUGAGAGGGGAAGAAAAAUCCAAACUGCGCAUCGAAAUUCAUUGAUUGCAGACAAGCCAAGAGGGCUUCGUCGAUUUCCA
Diachasmimorpha longicaudata is the source of this 2552-nucleotide long non-coding RNA. RefSeq lists it as uncharacterized. The transcript is spliced from 3 exons. NCBI's taxonomy places the organism in Eukaryota, Metazoa, Arthropoda, Insecta, Hymenoptera, Braconidae. The record is from RefSeq and is a predicted model, not a curated record.